GUUAAGUCUGUUUUGUGAACUACCUGCAAGGAGCUAAUGGACAGCUAAAUGAACUGCUAGUUUGCACCCUUGGAAAGUGGAGCGAGUUUCACGGUGCUGGAAGAGCGACAAUAAAUGUCAUUGCACCCGUUU
Molecule: long non-coding RNA, 132 nt
Organism: Alosa alosa (allis shad)
Lineage: Eukaryota; Metazoa; Chordata; Actinopteri; Clupeiformes; Clupeidae
Exons: 2
Source: RefSeq, a predicted model, not a curated record